Frieseomelitta varia is the source of this 281-nucleotide long non-coding RNA. RefSeq lists it as uncharacterized. Lineage: Eukaryota; Metazoa; Arthropoda; Insecta; Hymenoptera; Apidae. The transcript is spliced from 3 exons. The record is from RefSeq and is a predicted model, not a curated record.
GGUGUCUGGAGCUGAAUACUCGGUGAGAAACGGAGUUUGACACGAGCUGGUUGGGAGAACAAUUUGCAUAACUUCGAUUCACGACUUACAAGCGGCAGAGCUCGUGACGAUGCUUUGUGGCUCGAGACGAUAUAUAUAAAACGAAACAAAAGUUACGAGGUACUGAAAGGUACAUGCUUAAAGAUAUGAAGGAAAAUGAAUCUUCCAGGUAUGAGAAAAACCAACGAAAAGCCAAGCUCAGAUGCUUAUCUGUUAACAACAAGCACAUGUAUCAGCUCACC